This 253-nucleotide ribosomal RNA is filed under the name uncultured bacterium. Its description in RNAcentral is "partial 16S ribosomal RNA". It matches the Rfam family "Bacterial small subunit ribosomal RNA", at positions 524 to 776 of the family's 1533-position model. The record is from RNAcentral.
UACGAAGGGGGCGAGCAUUGUUCGGAAUUACUGGGCGUAAAGGGUGCGUAGGCGGAUUGGAUAGUCAGAUGUGAAAGCCCAGGGCUUAACCCUGGAACUGCAUUUGAUACUGCCAGUCUGGAGUAUUGGAGAGGAGCGUGGAAUUCUCAGUGUAGAGGUGAAAUUCGUAGAUAUUGAGAGGAACACCGGUGGCGUAGGCGACGCUCUGGCCAAAUACUGACGCUGAGGCACGAAAGUGUGGGGAGCAAACAGG